This is an RNA transcript of Triticum dicoccoides, 1959 nucleotides long. RefSeq lists it as uncharacterized. The record is from RefSeq and is a predicted model, not a curated record. The transcript has 6 exons. NCBI's taxonomy places the organism in Eukaryota, Viridiplantae, Streptophyta, Magnoliopsida, Poales, Poaceae.
CGGCCUUGUGAGACUGGACAAAUCCAGGCGAUUGGGGUACAAAACUUACAAAUCUAUAUCAGCUGAAGUAGCAGUCUUGGUCCCCAUGAGCUUCCUGUAAAAUAACAGUUGAUUCUUUGCUUGUCAUCAUGAGGAAAAUGUGGCACACCUUCGACAGAGAUGCAUUUAAUGUGGUUUUUUCUAAACCUUGCAUGAUAAACUUUUGUGUCCUCGUCACAGAAAACACGCCGAUUAUAUCUCCCACGUUGCCUGGCUGCAACCGCAAUUCAGUCUAUCAGUGUUCACUUUUUUUUUUGUUUCAACAUGGUCCUGAAGAUCCACCCAGAAAGGGAGUGGAAGAACGUAUCAUAAAAAAGUUCAAAUCAGACAAAUGUUUGGAAUUAUCAACAAAUGAGCAUAUUAGUGCUCAAAGUGAAGUUAGUAUCUACAAAUACUUUCUUGCCAAUGAACAAGUGGGGCAAUGGAGGGAUGGGACCAUCAUACCCUAUGACCAUGAGCUCCAGAGAUGGCAUCGGAACCCACAAGCUGUGAAGUUCUUCGUUUUGAGCGACGCGUAUAAUGAGCCAGCAGCUAAACUGGAAUUAUACAAGAACACUGAUAAGCUUGUGCAGUCUGGUGGCUCCAGGAGUUGUAUGACUCCCAUCUUUACAACAUACAAUCCCAAUCUAAAGAAGAUGAUUAUCUGCUUUCCUUAUUUUUCGGAGUUUUUCUCGGAAUGGGCUGCUGACUACAAGGGUGAUGGUUCGAACUGUCUGCCUGAAAUUCUGAAAGAUAUGAUAAGGGACUUGUUGGCUUUGAUGUCAAAAACAAGUGUGAGGGGAUUAGAUGAUCUAUCUUCCUACAUUUGUAUCAGAGCUAAGUUAUCUUCAAAUAACAACAAUAAAUAUCCCAAUGCUGGAAAGCGAGAAAUUGCUGGAAAGCGAGAAAUCUUGAAAUUCAUUAGGUUUCCUUUAAGUGGAAAGGAUCCAAAUGAGCAUCAAAUGCGUACAAGUUUUGCUGCAUUUCUUCGGAAGAACUUACCAGGAGAAUGGUUUGGUCGGGAUUUCAUGUUAUUUACGGAGAUGAUGGGAGGUAUGGUGUACAGCCUACAGGUCGUAACAGAUCACCCAGUAUUAAAGUGUGGUGCUGGUAUUGCCAAACUGAUCAGAGCGUGCUUUCGUGAAAAUUUGCGUCCUAGGCAGAUAGGAAUCUUAGAGAGGAUCGUUGACAUUGCCAAAUACGGUGGUCAGUCUUGGCACGCCUGUCUGAUACAUUAUCCAGUUUUGUUGGCCAUGAGUCGCUAUCGCACUGGAUCAUCGGACAGCCAUGAUCUUCUAUGGUUCGCAAGAAAAGCAACUGCUCACUAUAAGGAAAACCUCAAUGCUGAAUUUAGAAAAGGUACAAUACAGAGAUGUCCUUUCAACAACAUACACCCAAGUUUCAUUGUUAUGAUAGUGUAUCCCGGGCUGGUCUCCGAUUUGUAUGAGCUGUAUUUGAAUCACGAAUAUCUCAACGCGAUAGUGUAAAGACAAAUUUCAGUAUUUGAAGCUGCUUCAGUUGGCGGUCCUCCUGACCAUCUUAGCUUUGCGUGAUUGUCCACAUUUGGCAUGCGGAGAAAAGGAAUGGAGCACAUGAAAAAUGAGAAUCAUGUGGGGAAAAAGCAAGAUGAAGAGGGACAUCCUAACAAAUGAGGUGAGAAUGGUAGAACUCAAGUAAAGAACAAUGAUAUGAAAUGAGUAGUCUCAAAACCUGUAACCAUCUGCCUGAUCUUUUACUGAUGUUCCAGCAUUGUAGUGAAAAGUUAAUAAUUUGUGUUCUUUAACAGUGUUAAUCCCGUCACUAUGUUUGUAUUCUGCAGAUAUUUGGAUCUAGUAACCUUGAUAUUUAGUGAGAAAUGGUUUUAAAAGUUGUGAGGAUUGUUGUUCAGUACUGAUGAUGUAUUUGAAUUUCAUAAUAUCAUUAACCACUUUAUGUAUCAUA